Molecule: long non-coding RNA, 941 nt
Filed under: Mytilus galloprovincialis (Mediterranean mussel)
Lineage: Eukaryota; Metazoa; Mollusca; Bivalvia; Mytilida; Mytilidae
Source: RNAcentral
UUUUUUUUUUCUUCCGCCUAAUUUUUUUCCUUCGCUGUUUUUUUGUUUCACAAGAUGUCGCUUAGAUUUUUGGAAUAUGAUAUCGAACAGUUUAUACGCUUUUGAGACCAACUCUGCUUAACCGAAUACUUUCCCAAAUAAGAGUUAUCACCCCGAACAUUGUUUUCCUUGUUAUCUCUAAGGCUUCGCAACCGUAUAAGAAACCGAUGAAUUUAUUUUUCCAAAUAGCUCGUUAUAUCCUGAGGAUGUUCUGUUUUAUUUUGACCGAAGCCGUAUAUAGAUUCCAUAUGAGAGGUAUCCCCCCUUUUAUGUUUAAUAUAAGAAUAUGCAUUUCUAAUUGGUAAACCAUAAGUGAUAGAGACCUAGGGUCUUUUGAUUUGAGAUCCUUGGUUCAAAAAAAUGUAAAUAAGGUCAAGGUCAAAGGUCAAGGUCAUAUUAUAAAUUUUGAUUUUGGCUUAAUUUCACUUAUUUUCAAAAGCCGUAUAACUUAUCGACAAAUUAUUUUUACUAAAUUGUUAGUUGCGACAUGUCGUAACACGUAAAUUUUAGUCGAAAGAGUACGUAGACAUUUGAUGUCAGUUUUGACCGCUUUUAUAUCUAAUAUUUGUUGUAAGGUAAUACAACUCAUUAACAAUAUAUUGUAGAGGCCUAGAGUCUUUUGAUUUGAGGUCCUUGGUUGAUGACCUCAAAAUUGAGCUCAAGGUCAUAGGUAAAUGUAACGUUCUAGAUUUUGACCUUUGCUUUUACCUCAUAUGUAUACAUGUUUAAGACAUGGGACUUUUUAAAUUAGGUUGCAAGCAAUGUGAUCUAGAAAAAGACAACCGGAAGUAGCUAUAUUUUAUACUUAAUUAAUGAAAAAGUAUAUAGAACCAUAUAUUUUUGGAAUCAGUGCUAAGUAAACAAUAAAAAAUUACCGGAAGUAACAUAUUUUAAACCGGAAG